RNAcentral lists this non-coding RNA (570 nucleotides) under Trichobilharzia regenti. RNAcentral's name for it is "Eukaryotic small subunit ribosomal RNA". It matches the Rfam family "Eukaryotic small subunit ribosomal RNA", at positions 4 to 481 of the family's 1831-position model. Lineage: Eukaryota; Metazoa; Platyhelminthes; Trematoda; Strigeidida; Schistosomatidae. The record is from Rfam by way of RNAcentral.
CCGGUUGAUCCUGCCAGUAGUCAUAUGCUUAUCCCACAGAUUAAGCCUUGCAUGUCUAAGUACAUACCUUAAAACGGUGAAAAUGCGAAUGGCUCAUUAAAUCAGCUAUGGUUCCUUAGAUCAUAUAUACCACGUGGAUAACUGUAGUAUUCCUAUAGCUAAUACAUGCAAUCAUGCCCUGACCCGCUAGAGAACGGGUGCAUUUAUUAGAACACAGCCAACCGGGGGUAUUUUCAGCUUUGUUGAAUUGUGUGAUGACUCUAGAUAACUGUAGUGAUCGCAGUUGGCCCUCUGUCGGUGACGGAUCUUUCAAAUGUCUGCCCCAUCAACUUAUUGGUAGGUGAUCUGCCUACCAUGAUAAUAACGGGUGACGGGGAAUUAGGGUUCGAUUCCUGAGACGGAGCCUGAGAAAUGGCUACCAUACCCAAGGACGGUAGCUCCUCUGCUUUUUGAGGCUCUUCACGAUUUAUUUGGUACCCGUUAGACAACAGAAGACGAUUCUUCAGAACCAACUUCCUGGCUUGUUUGGACCAGGCAUAGUCUAAUAUCGAAAUUUUAAUGGCUUUUAUU